This is a long non-coding RNA of Engraulis encrasicolus (European anchovy), 536 nucleotides long. RefSeq lists it as uncharacterized. The record is from RefSeq and is a predicted model, not a curated record. The transcript is spliced from 3 exons. NCBI's taxonomy places the organism in Eukaryota, Metazoa, Chordata, Actinopteri, Clupeiformes, Engraulidae.
AGGAGGCUGGCAGCCCAUUGAUCCGAAUGGCCAGAAAGCCCAAGCUGCAGCCGACACUGUUUUUGAGAUAUGGACGCGUCGCCAACCACCUGGCCUGGCUUACAGACUGGGCGAGGUGGUAUCAGCACAGCAACAGGUUGUAGCUGGAUCAAACUUCAAGUUGGAGGUCAUAAUUGAAUCAUCUGUUGCCAGACCUGGUUCCCAGUGGCGACAGGGUCAGCGGUGUGACUUCUCUCUGAACGUUCCAUUGAAUGGGGCUCCGGCUGGUCUUGUCGACAAUUGUCAGGAAAUGUGAUGUGAAGAGAAGCUGAUGAAUUAUUCACAGCACACUGCUAAGUGACAGAUCGAAUUGGAGCUUGAAUAAAAUUACUGCUUUCUUACUGCUUUAUUACUGCUGUAAUAGCACAACCAGUUUGUCAUAGAAUAUGAGAUUAUUUGGCAACAGUUUGGGCCUUAUCUUUAUCUAGAUUAACUCUGUCUCUCGACUCACUGCAAAACAAACAAAAAACAUGAAAAAAUAAAGAAUAUUCGCUCAU